Molecule: transfer RNA, 69 nt
Filed under: Camelus bactrianus (Bactrian camel)
Lineage: Eukaryota; Metazoa; Chordata; Mammalia; Artiodactyla; Camelidae
Also listed under: 1 other name
Rfam family: tRNA
About the family: Transfer RNA (tRNA) molecules are approximately 80 nucleotides in length.
Source: Rfam by way of RNAcentral
GAGGGUAUAGCUCAGAGAUACGUGAGCUUAGCAUGCUUGAGGUCCUGGGUUCAAUCCCCAGUAUCUUCA